RNAcentral lists this long non-coding RNA (2068 nucleotides) under Ananas comosus (pineapple). Its description in RNAcentral is "long non-coding RNA (ACOM_LNC034415)". The record is from RNAcentral. Lineage: Eukaryota; Viridiplantae; Streptophyta; Magnoliopsida; Poales; Bromeliaceae.
UGGUCUUUGUAGGUGUCACGCCUCGAGACCGCUACCAAUUUGGUCCGGUUCGGGCACGUCGAACAAACGCCGGACGGACAGCACCUCCCUUGUCCGCCCAAGGCUAGCAACGAGAUUGUGUACAUCAAGUUUCUAGGAAAAUAACUUGAAUACAUACACAAUCGAUAACUACAACAAGAGCACAAUCAGUGCUAAACAACCGAGAGCAAGAUACAAGUAUGAGACGUACAAGUAAUGAUAAAGAGAGAGCAUCUAUCUAUUACAUUCAUUCAAUCCACAAUUUACAUCUCAUUUAAAAUAUAUUUAAAUCUCCAAAAUAUAAACAUCAACUUACAUUCAUUCCAGAAUUCCUCACAUCCUAUACAUCAUCUACUCUCAAUGUAUAUAAAGGUAACUCUAAUGCAAAUAGGAAGCAUCUAUCAAAACUAGCACUAAGACGCUAAGCCCUUACCGCGAUCAUCUGCCGGUCCGCUCUCGUAUGUACCUGUACCCCAAAACCACACGGGGUGAGAACUAUAUAAAUAUAGUUCCCAGUGGGUUCGGCCGCCGACUCCGCCGGUCUCCCCACUAGGUCCAAGUGGGCACAAGUAGAUAUACCGAUAGAUAGAUAUGGAAAACUGUAAAUGACAGAAGUAAAGCUACGCUACUAUGCCCAAUCAUAAAUAUAUGAAUGCAUGUACAAAGAAAUAGGUAAGCAACUAACCUGUUAUCAUGUCCAAAGGUAAGACUAUUUACUCGUUCAUUAACCUCAUUUACUUGUUCACUAAUCUCAUUUACUUGUUCAUUAAUCUCAUGGCUUACCCGAAGGCUCGCCUACGGCUCACUAGCCAUCUCGACGCGUAGGGAGAAUUAACUCAUACUACGAAUCCGAAACCAUCUGGCGGGACCCCAAAUAGGCUAUCCCUCGGGACCCCAAAUAGGUCGUCCCACGUGACCAACUCCGGAGAGCACGACUUGUGUGGAGCGACCAUCACAAGUUAAAAACAGACCGUGAGCAUGAUCCAAUCCUCUAAGCUCGAGGAUACCCUAUCCUCUAGGGUUACAAUCAUAAUAUAAUCCAUAGGUUUCAUAUACACUACGACUCACAUAUAUCACUUGUUCUUUUGUUUACUAUCAACUAGAUACCACUCGUUCUUUACAAGUUUCCAAUGCAAUAGCCAAUAUAUUACUAAGUUCCCAUCCACACUUAUCAUCUCAUUAUAGGGUUCCACAUCACAUAUAUAAACCUCAAGCAUGCUUGAUAUAAGUACUAAGCCAAAUACAUUAUUCUACCAAAGAACAUGCAAGGUAUAGGACCAAACCAUCAUUUAUCACCCUAUAAUGCAAGAUGUCAAUAUGCAAUUUGAUCAAUAUAAAACUUAGACAUAAAAGGGAGUCAGUUGAUUCGGGAUGGUCACCACCCACCUUUUAUAGCGUUCCGAUUGCUCGUCGUCACUCGCAAUCGGCCUCCUGCGGCGCACACCGCACGGCUCGACCUAACUCACGCGCGACUACCAAAUGACCUCCGAUCCGCGAUCUGAAAAUUAAAGGUCUUCGGUUCUUUGUCACGAUGCUCGAAAUCUGAUCCCACGAUUUAUGGAAGCCGCCUCGGCUCCCGGGUCAACUCUGAGCUACGAACACUUGUUUCAGCCGGAACGUCGCACCCGCUCGACGAAUCGACGAACCGUCGCUUCCCACACAUUCAGCGACCUAUCAAUUCGGUUUACAGAGGGUUAAAAGAGAUCAAACCCAACUAUUUACAAAAACCCCAUUUUGAGCCCUAGGUUUACAACUAGGCAAGAAUCCACCAUUUGGACUCACAAAUCAAGCAUCAACCAUCUAAUUAGCAUCAAAGGGGUCCACUAAAUCCAUUUCUAGAGAUUAAAACCUAAUCUCUAAGCAUCUACCAUUAAUGGGCUAGAAGCUCACCUCUACUAGCUUGCUCCAAAAUGAAGAAGAAGAAGAUGAUGGUGAUGAUGAUCCCUCCAAGCUUCUUCUCCUCCCUUUUUCCUCUUCUCCUUCCUCUUCUUCUUCUUCUCUUUCUUUUCUUUCUAGAAAGAGAGAGAGGGAGAGUUUAGGACUUUAGAGU